GCUCAGGACGAACGCGGGCGGCGUGCUUAACACAUGCAAGUCGAACGGAAAGGCCCUUCGGGGUACUCGAGUGGCGAACGGGUGAGUAACACGUGGGUGAUCUGCCCUGCACUUUGGGAUAAGCCUGGGAAACUGGGUCUAAUACCGAAUAGGACCACGCGCUUCAUGGUGUGUGGUGGAAAGCUUUUGCGGUGUGGGAUGGGCCCGCGGCCUAUCAGCUUGUUGGUGGGGUAAUGGCCUACCAAGGCGACGACGGGUAGCCGGCCUGAGAGGGUGACCGGCCACACUGGGACUGAGAUACGGCCCAGACUCCUACGGGAGGCAGCAGUGGGGAAUAUUGCACAAUGGGCGCAAGCCUGAUGCAGCGACGCCGCGUGAGGGAUGACGGCCUUCGGGUUGUAAACCUCUUUCAAUAGGGACGAAGCGCAAGUGACGGUACCUAUAGAAGAAGCACCGGCCAACUACGUGCCAGCAGCCGCGGUAAUACGUAGGGUGCGAGCGUUGUCCGGAAUUACUGGGCGUAAAGAGCUCGUAGGUGGUUUGUCGCGUUGUUCGUGAAAACUCACAGCUUAACUGUGGGCGUGCGGGCGAUACGGGCAGACUAGAGUACUGCAGGGGAGACUGGAAUUCCUGGUGUAGCGGUGGAAUGCGCAGAUAUCAGGAGGAACACCGGUGGCGAAGGCGGGUCU
Molecule: ribosomal RNA, 689 nt
Filed under: Mycolicibacterium mucogenicum
Lineage: Bacteria; Bacillati; Actinomycetota; Actinomycetes; Mycobacteriales; Mycobacteriaceae
Description: bacterial SSU rRNA
Rfam family: Bacterial small subunit ribosomal RNA
Source: RNAcentral